UAGGGAAUCUUCCGCAAUGGGCGAAAGCCUGACGGAGCAACGCCGCGUGAGUGAUGAAGGUCUUCGGAUCGUAAAACUCUGUUAUUAGGGAAGAACAAAUGUGUAUGUAACUAUGCACGUCUUGACGGUACCUAAUCAGAAAGCCACGGCCAACUACGUGCCAGCAGCCGCGGUAAUACGUAGGUGGCAAGCGUUAUCCGGAAUUAUUGGGCGUAAAGCGCGCGUAGGCGGUUUUUUAAGUCUGAUGUGAAAGCCCACGGCUCAACCGUGGAGGGUCAUUGGAAAAUGGGAAACUUGAGUGCAGGAGAGGAGAGUGGAAUUCCAUGUGUAGCGGUGGAAUGCGCAGAGAUAUGGGGGAACACCAGUGGCGAAGGCGACUUUCUGGUCUGUAACUGACGCUGAUGUGCGAAAGCGGGGGGAGCAAACAGG
RNAcentral lists this ribosomal RNA (429 nucleotides) under Actinomycetes bacterium. RNAcentral describes it as "Actinobacteria bacterium partial 16S ribosomal RNA". It matches the Rfam family "Bacterial small subunit ribosomal RNA", at positions 355 to 776 of the family's 1533-position model. The record is from RNAcentral. Lineage: Bacteria; Bacillati; Actinomycetota; Actinomycetes.